RNAcentral lists this ribosomal RNA (518 nucleotides) under uncultured bacterium. Its description in RNAcentral is "bacterial SSU rRNA". It matches the Rfam family "Bacterial small subunit ribosomal RNA", at positions 8 to 526 of the family's 1533-position model. The record is from RNAcentral.
AGAGUUUGAUCAUGGCUCAGGAUGAACGCUAGCGGGAGGCUUAACACAUGCAAGCCGAGGGGUAUAUAGUUUUCGGAUUAUAGAGACCGGCGCACGGGUGCGUAACGCGUAUGUAACUUGCCCUAUUGAGAGGGAUAGCCCAGAGAAAUUUGGAUUAAUACCUCAUAAUACUGGAUAUGGCAUCAUAAUCAGUUGAAAGAUUUAUCGCAAUAGGAUAGACAUGCGUAUGAUUAGUUAGUUGGUGAGGUAACGGCUCACCAAGACGAUGAUCAUUAGGGGGCCUGAGAGGGUGAACCCCCACACUGGUACUGAGACACGGACCAGACUCCUACGGGAGGCAGCAGUGAGGAAUAUUGGACAAUGGGUGAGAGCCUGAUCCAGCCAUCCCGCGUGCAGGAAGACGGCCCUAUGGGUUGUAAACUGCUUUUCUACGAGAAUAAACCACCUUACGUGUAGGGUGUUGAAGGUACCGUAGGAAUAAGCACCGGCUAACUCCGUGCCAGCCGCCGCGGUAAUUC